RNAcentral lists this ribosomal RNA (809 nucleotides) under Pseudomonadaceae bacterium. RNAcentral describes it as "bacterial SSU rRNA". It matches the Rfam family "Bacterial small subunit ribosomal RNA", at positions 83 to 888 of the family's 1533-position model. Lineage: Bacteria; Pseudomonadati; Pseudomonadota; Gammaproteobacteria; Pseudomonadales; Pseudomonadaceae. The record is from RNAcentral.
CUUCUCUUGAGAGCGGCGGACGGGUGAGUAAUGCCUAGGAAUCUGCCUGGUAGUGGGGGAUAACGUUCGGAAACGGACGCUAAUACCGCAUACGUCCUACGGGAGAAAGCAGGGGACCUUCGGGCCUUGCGCUAUCAGAUGAGCCUAGGUCGGAUUAGCUAGUUGGUGAGGUAAUGGCUCACCAAGGCGACGAUCCGUAACUGGUCUGAGAGGAUGAUCAGUCACACUGGAACUGAGACACGGUCCAGACUCCUACGGGAGGCAGCAGUGGGGAAUAUUGGACAAUGGGCGAAAGCCUGAUCCAGCCAUGCCGCGUGUGUGAAGAAGGUCUUCGGAUUGUAAAGCACUUUAAGUUGGGAGGAAGGGUUGUAGAUUAAUACUCUGCAAUUUUGACGUUACCGACAGAAUAAGCACCGGCUAACUCUGUGCCAGCAGCCGCGGUAAUACAGAGGGUGCAAGCGUUAAUCGGAAUUACUGGGCGUAAAGCGCGCGUAGGUGGUUUGUUAAGUUGGAUGUGAAAUCCCCGGGCUCAACCUGGGAACUGCAUUCAAAACUGACUGACUAGAGUGUGGUAGAGGGUGGUGGAAUUUCCUGUGUAGCGGUGAAAUGCGUAGAUAUAGGAAGGAACACCAGUGGCGAAGGCGACCACCUGGACCAACACUGACACUGAGGUGCGAAAGCGUGGGGAGCAAACAGGAUUAGAUACCCUGGUAGUCCACGCCGUAAACGAUGUCAACUAGCCGUUGGGAGCCUUGAGCUCUUAGUGGCGCAGCUAACGCAUUAAGUUGACCGCCUGGGGAGUACGGCCG